CAGUACCCUUUCUAUCAUUGCUUACACAGUGCAGCUGAGACACAUACAGGCACAGAUAUGCACCAGCCUAGAGAAGCUGCCCAGGAUGGCUGAGAUGAGACAGCCGCUCCUGCCUGGACCAGGGCCGAGAACUGCCAGGUAACCUCUGAGGCCCUGCCCGUGGAAUUCAGCCCGCCAUUGCUGGCUCAUAAUUAAAGCAUGUCACCAUAAUUUGCCUUUUUUUCUUACAAAGCCCAUAAUUAUGUUUUUAUUGCAAGUGAAG
This is a long non-coding RNA of Microtus oregoni (creeping vole), 262 nucleotides long. RefSeq lists it as uncharacterized. The transcript is spliced from 3 exons. The record is from RefSeq and is a predicted model, not a curated record. Lineage: Eukaryota; Metazoa; Chordata; Mammalia; Rodentia; Cricetidae.